UGCAGUCGAGCGGAUGAAGGAGCUUGCUCCUUGAUUUAGCGGCGGACGGGUGAGUAAUGCCUAGGAAUCUGCCUGGUAGUGGGGGAUAACGUUCCGAAAGGAACGCUAAUACCGCAUACGUCCUACGGGAGAAAGCAGGGGACCUUCGGGCCUUGCGCUAUCAGAUGAGCCUAGGUCGGAUUAGCUAGUUGGUGAGGUAAUGGCUCACCAAGGCGACGAUCCGUAACUGGUCUGAGAGGAUGAUCAGUCACACUGGAACUGAGACACGGUCCAGACUCCUACGGGAGGCAGCAGUGGGGAAUAUUGGACAAUGGGCGAAAGCCUGAUCCAGCCAUGCCGCGUGUGUGAAGAAGGUCUUCGGAUUGUAAAGCACUUUAAGUUGGGAGGAAGGGCAGUAAGCUAAUACCUUGCUGUUUUGACGUUACCGACAGAAUAAGCACCGGCUAACUUCGUGCCAGCAGCCGCGGUAAUACGAAGGGUGCAAGCGUUAAUCGGAAUUACUGGGCGUAAAGCGCGCGUAGGUGGUUCGUUAAGUUGGAUGUGAAAGCCCCGGGCUCAACCUGGGAACUGCAUCCAAAACUGGCGAGCUAGAGUACGGUAGAGGGUGGUGGAAUUUCCUGUGUAGCGGUGAAAUGCGUAGAUAUAG
This 646-nucleotide ribosomal RNA is filed under the name uncultured Pseudomonas sp. RNAcentral describes it as "bacterial SSU rRNA". It matches the Rfam family "Bacterial small subunit ribosomal RNA", at positions 56 to 699 of the family's 1533-position model. Lineage: Bacteria; Pseudomonadati; Pseudomonadota; Gammaproteobacteria; Pseudomonadales; Pseudomonadaceae. The record is from RNAcentral.